CCUACGGGUGGCAGCAGUGGGGAAUAUUGGGCAAUGGAGGCAACUCUUACCCAGCAAUGCCGCGUGAAUGAAGAAGGUCUUCGGAUUGUAAAGUUCUUUAAUUGGGGACGAAAAAAAUGACGGUACCCAGGGAAUAGGCCCCGGCUAACUACUUGCCAGCAGCCGCGGUAAUACGAAGGGGGCAAGGGUUGUUCGGAAUGACUGGGCGUAAAGGGAGUGUAGGCGGUGUAGCAAGUUAAAAGGGAAAUACCUAGAGCUUAACUCAGGUGCUGCUUCUAAAACUGCUAUACUUGAGUGCAGGAGAGGAAAGUGGAAUUCCUAGUGUAGCGGUGGAAUGCGUAGAUAUUAGGAGGAACAUCAGUGGCGAAGGCGACUUUCUGGACUGUAACUGACGCUGAGGCACGAAAGUGUGGGGAGCAAACAGGAUUAGAUACCCUUGUAGUC
Molecule: ribosomal RNA, 444 nt
Filed under: uncultured bacterium
Lineage: Bacteria
Description: partial 16S ribosomal RNA
Rfam family: Bacterial small subunit ribosomal RNA
Source: RNAcentral